RNAcentral lists this ribosomal RNA (468 nucleotides) under uncultured bacterium. Its description in RNAcentral is "partial 16S ribosomal RNA". It matches the Rfam family "Bacterial small subunit ribosomal RNA", at positions 28 to 507 of the family's 1533-position model. The record is from RNAcentral.
GACGAACGCUGGCGGCGUGCUUAACACAUGCAAGUCGAACGGAAAGGCCCUGCUUUUGUGGGGUGCUUGAGUGGCGAACGGGUGAGUAACACGUGAGUAACCUGCCCUUGACUUUGGGAUAACUUCAGGAAACUGGGGCUAAUACCGGAUAGGAGCUCCUGCUGCAUGGUGGGGGUUGGAAAGUUUCGGCGGUUGGGGAUGGACUCGCGGCUUAUCAGCUUGUUGGUGGGGUAGUGGCUUACCAAGGCUUGGACGGGUAGCCGGCCUGAGAGGGUGACCGGCCACAUUGGGACUGGGAUACGGCCCAGACUCCUACGGGAGGCAGCAGUGGGGAAUAUUGCACAAUGGGCGGAAGCCUGAUGCAGCAACGCCGCGUGCGGGAUGACGGCCUUCGGGCUGUAAACCGCUUUCGCCUGUGACGAAGCGUGAGUGACGGUAAUGGGUAAAGAAGCACCGGCUAACUACGUG